This 68-nucleotide transfer RNA is filed under the name uncultured Mitsuokella sp. It matches the Rfam family "tRNA", at positions 5 to 66 of the family's 71-position model. Rfam says of the family: Transfer RNA (tRNA) molecules are approximately 80 nucleotides in length. Their secondary structure includes four short double-helical elements and three loops (D, anti-codon, and T loops). The record is from RNAcentral. Lineage: Bacteria; Bacillati; Bacillota; Negativicutes; Selenomonadales; Selenomonadaceae.
CAGUAGCUCAGUUGGAUAGAGCAACGGCCUUCUAAGCCGUGGGUCGGGGGUUCGAAUCCCUCCUGUCG